This 519-nucleotide ribosomal RNA is filed under the name uncultured eukaryote. RNAcentral's name for it is "SSU rRNA". It matches the Rfam family "Eukaryotic small subunit ribosomal RNA", at positions 1161 to 1699 of the family's 1831-position model. The record is from RNAcentral.
AGGGCACCACCAGGAGUGGAGCCUGCGGCUUAAUUUGACUCAACACGGGAAAACUCACCCGGCCCGGACACUGGAAGGAUUGACAGAUUGAGAGCUCUUUCUUGAUUCAGUGGGUGGUGGUGCAUGGCCGUUCUUAGUUGGUGGAGUGAUUUGUCUGGUUAAUUCCGAUAACGAACGAGACUCUAGCCUACUAAAUAGAUCGUCGGCUUAUAAACGCCGGCGAGACUUCUUAGAGGGACAGGCGGUGAUUCAACCGCACGAAACAGAGCAAUAACAGGUCUGUGUUGCCCUUAGAUGUCCGGGGCCGCACGCGCGCUACACUGAAGUGAUCAGCGUGCUUUUUCAACCUACUCUGUCAAGAGUGGGGAACCCAAUGAACCUUCUUCGUGAUUGGGAUAGGGGAUUGUAAUUAUUCCCCUUGAACGAGGAAUUCCCAGUAGGCGCGAGUCAUAAGCUCGCGUUGAUUACGUCCCUGCCCUUUGUACACACCGCCCGUCGCUACUACCGACUGAAUGUUUU